RNAcentral lists this long non-coding RNA (476 nucleotides) under Marmota monax (woodchuck). The record is from RNAcentral. Lineage: Eukaryota; Metazoa; Chordata; Mammalia; Rodentia; Sciuridae.
UUAAAAAUGUGAUUUUUUUUUUUAGUCAUCCCAUGAAGUUGCCAAAAGUUUUAGCAUGCUUAAUUAUUAACAGCAUAUUUUAGUGUUGAGUGAUGAAUGUCUAAUAUUUGUUAAAAUGUUUGCCUAUCACUAUUUAUUACUAAGUUAACACUUUGGGGAUGAUAUUGUCAAUUAUACUUAAAGAAAUUGAGCAACGAGAUGGAAAAUGCAAUGGGUUUUGCAGUAUGUUACAUAAUUGGUUGUUAAAAGUCUUCUCAGUUUUGCUUACAUUAAUGUUAAAUUGCUAUGCAUUCCUUGAGUUCACUAACUAGAUGGUAAGAAGUAGGUGACUAGGAAUGUAGCAGAUGUUUACCUGGAAUUGGUAGAUCCAUAAGUCAGUACUUGAGAAUCAAUUGUAGGUGCAGGGGUGAAUCAUAAGAUGCUAUAAGCUUAGGUGUUCAAGGGUUUUCAACUCAUCUCAAAGUACACAUUCCUUA